RNAcentral lists this ribosomal RNA (392 nucleotides) under uncultured bacterium. RNAcentral's name for it is "bacterial SSU rRNA". It matches the Rfam family "Bacterial small subunit ribosomal RNA", at positions 30 to 426 of the family's 1533-position model. The record is from RNAcentral.
AUUGAACGCUGGCGGCAUGCCUUACACAUGCAAGUCGAACGGCAGCACGGGGCAACCUGGUGGCGAGUGGCGAACGGGUGAGUAAUGCAUCGGAACGUGCCAUUGAGUGGGGGAUAACGUAGCGAAAGUUGCGCUAAUACCGCAUAUUCUGUGAGCAGGAAAGCAGGGGACCGCAAGGCCUUGCGCUCUUUGAGCGGCCGAUGUCAGAUUAGCUAGUUGGUGAGGUAACGGCUUACCAAGGCGACGAUCUGUAGCGGGUCUGAGAGGAUGAUCCGCCACACUGGAACUGAGACACGGUCCAGACUCCUACGGGAGGCAGCAGUGGGGAAUUUUGGACAAUGGGCGCAAGCCUGAUCCAGCCAUGCCGCGUGAGUGAAGAAGGCCUCGGUUGU